RNAcentral lists this unclassified non-coding RNA (2502 nucleotides) under Polistes fuscatus (common paper wasp). RNAcentral's name for it is "glycerol kinase, transcript variant X4". The record is from RNAcentral. Lineage: Eukaryota; Metazoa; Arthropoda; Insecta; Hymenoptera; Vespidae.
CAGCAGCGAACCAUGGCGUGAUAAGGUUGUCUCUACACACGAGGAGUAUUACAUUCGUAACACUUGGCGCCGAAUCGUACAAUUGUAAUCUUUGAUCUCGAUGUAUAUUACAAAAGAAUUGUUCGUGCACGUGUGUCGGGUUAAAGUCGAAUUAUAACCGAUUUCUUACCUUAUUUGGAUAUCGAUCGUAGUUUCUUCGACCACGCUGAGACGGGCGUUAGUCUCUCGCAUACAUUUGUUUAACAAUACGUGUAAACUCGAGUAUAAACUCGAGGAUUAACCAGUUUUAUGGAAGAGGAAGAAGAAACGAAGAAGAAGAAGAAGAAGGUGGAAAGUGAAGAUGGGAGGAAAAACGAUGAAGAGGUUAGAGAAAAUGAAAGUCAAAAUGGCGAUAAAGAGGAUGAGGAAAACGGCGGGAAAAAUGAGAGCAACAACGACACGUACGAGGAUGACUCAGCGUUCGCCUUAGAGGGUAUGGAAUAUACGCAAACAGGAAGGAAGACCAGUAUUUUCAAGUACUAUGCUUUUAAGGAGAAAGAAACAAUGCCGAGUACUUCAAAAAAACAACAGGGUCCACUGAUCGGUGUGAUAGACGUUGGUACACGGACAGUAAGAUUUGUGGUUUUCAAUGCGAAGCAUAUAACGGAAGUAGCUUCUCAUCAGAUCGAUAUUGAGCAAUUGAGUCCAAUGGAAGGUUGGCUUGAAGAGGAUCCGAAGGAAAUACUUUUUGCUGUUAAGGCAUGCAUUAAAGAUGUCAUAAAAAGGUUUGAAUCACUCAAUCUCAAGGUGGAAGACAUCAUCACGAUCGGUGUAACAAAUCAGAGAGAAACAACUAUAGCGUGGGAUAGCAUAACCGGUGAACCGUUCUACAAUGCUAUAGUGUGGACUGAUAUCAGAACCGCUUCGACGGUCGAUCAAAUCAUUGCCAAGUUCCCAGACAAAAGUAAAAACCAUCUGAAACCACUUUGCGGUUUACCGGUCAGUCCAUUUUUUUCUGCUUUGAAAAUCCGAUGGUUGAGAGAUAACGUACCGGUUGUUAGAAAAGCAAUGCGCGAUAGACGCUGCAAAGUUGGUACGAUGGACACUUGGAUUAUUUGGAACUUAACCGGUGGUAAAGAUGGCGGACUGUACAUAACGGAUGUAACAAAUGCUUCAAGAACGAUGUUGAUGAAUAUCGAAACACUUUCGUGGGAUCCCACGUUAUGUAGAUACUUUGAUAUUUCAAUGCAAAUGUUACCCGAAAUUAAAAGCAGCUCGGAAAUUUAUGGUAAAAUGACAAUCGGUCCUUUAGCGGGUAUUCCCAUAUCGGGCAUACUUGGUAAUCAACAAUCGGCAUUGGUCGGACAAAAUUGUUUGAAAAAAGGCCAAACUAAGAACACUUACAGAAGUGGAUGUUUCUUACUCUGUAAUACAGGAACUACGAGAGUUUAUUCUUCUCACGGUUUAGUCACUACUGUUGCAUAUCAAUUAGGUCCAAACAGUCCUGCUGUUUAUGCGUUGGAAGGUUCGGUUGCGGUAGCUGGGGCUGCUAUUAGAUGGUUAAGGGACAAUCUGAAACUUAUCAAAGAUGUUCACGAAAGUGAACAUUUAGCACAAAGAGUAUUUAGUACAGGCGAUGUUUAUUUCGUACCUGCUUUCACUGGACUUUAUGCUCCUUAUUGGAGAAAAGAUGCUAGAGGAAUACUUUGUGGUCUCACUGCCUUUACUACGAAGCAACACAUAAUAAGAGCAUGUCUCGAGGCAGUAUGCUUUCAAACGAGAGAUAUUUUAGAAGCGAUGUAUAAAGAUUGUGGUUUUCCAUUAAAAAGAUUGAAUACUGAUGGUAAAAUGUCGACAAAUAAUCUCCUCAUGCAAUUACAAGCAGACCUUUGCGGUAUACCAGUUUUUAGAUCCACUAUACCGGAUAUGACUGCAUUGGGUGUAGCAAUGGCUGCCGGUCACGCGGAAGGUAUAAAUGCAUGGGAAUUUGAAAAUGAAGAAAUUGAAAGAGUUGCGACUGAUACAUUUUUACCCACUACAACACCCGAGGGUAAAUUCAUAUCUUUAUUCCAAUUAGAACGUUCCUUUUACAUUAAUAAAAUUAUUUUCACAUUUUUUUUCUAUAUUUUAGAGAGAGAUGCUAGAUAUAAAAAAUGGAAAAUGGCAGUAGAAAGAAGUUUGGGUUGGGCAGCGGUUAAGAAGUCUGACCAAAUGACAGAUGAAAGAUAUUGCGUGUUAGCCUCAAUACCUGCCAGCUGGUUCUUAAUGUCGAGCUUUAUCCUUCUAAGGUUUAGCCAAUAUUUAGAAAAUCGGUGACACAACCGAUACGUCACUGAAGUGAUUCACGAGAUAGAUGGCAGAUAGCCUAAUCAUAAUUUUGAACAACAUUUAGGGAAGAUGACCGAGAGAGUUCGGUUAUCAAUUAUAGAAAAGCAGUCAUAUUGCCGUAUAUUUGUUAAACAAAAGCUGUUAAUAAACGUGGAGAUACGAUUAGUACAGAAAUGGAAAUCCAGAGAAAAGAAA